This 201-nucleotide ribosomal RNA is filed under the name uncultured Lactobacillus sp. RNAcentral's name for it is "partial 16S ribosomal RNA". It matches the Rfam family "Bacterial small subunit ribosomal RNA", at positions 162 to 356 of the family's 1533-position model. Lineage: Bacteria; Bacillati; Bacillota; Bacilli; Lactobacillales; Lactobacillaceae. The record is from RNAcentral.
GCCAAUACCGGAUAACAACAGAUGAUGCCUAUCAACUGUUUAAAAGAAUGGUUCUGCUAUCACUCUUGGAUGGACCUGCGGUGCAUUAGCUAGUUGGUAGGGUAACGGCCUACCAAGGCGAUGAUGCAUAGCCGAGUUGAGAGACUGAUCGGCCACAUUGGGACUGAGACACGGCCCAAACUCCUACGGGAGGCAGCAGCG